RNAcentral lists this transfer RNA (87 nucleotides) under Acidimicrobiaceae bacterium. Its description in RNAcentral is "tRNA-Leu". It matches the Rfam family "tRNA". Rfam says of the family: Transfer RNA (tRNA) molecules are approximately 80 nucleotides in length. Their secondary structure includes four short double-helical elements and three loops (D, anti-codon, and T loops). RNAcentral also lists the same sequence under 1 other name. The record is from RNAcentral. Lineage: Bacteria; Bacillati; Actinomycetota; Acidimicrobiia; Acidimicrobiales; Acidimicrobiaceae.
GCCCGGGUGGCGGAAUUGGCAGACGCGGAGGAUUCAAAAUCCUCUGGCCGCAAGGUCGUGCGGGUUCAAGUCCCGCCCCGGGCACAA